RNAcentral lists this ribosomal RNA (265 nucleotides) under uncultured archaeon. RNAcentral's name for it is "partial 16S ribosomal RNA". It matches the Rfam family "Archaeal small subunit ribosomal RNA", at positions 748 to 1009 of the family's 1478-position model. The record is from RNAcentral.
UAGCCGUAAACGAAUACUCGCUAGGUGUCGGCCACGGUGCGACCGUUGUCGGUGCCGUAGGGAAGCCGUGAAGCGAGCCACCUGGGAAGUACGGCCGCAAGGCUGAAACUUAAAGGAAUUGGCGGGGGGAGGCACCACAACGGGUGGAGCCUGCGGUUUAAUUUGGACUCAACGCCGGGAAGCUCACCGGAUAAGACAGCGGAAUGAUUGCCGGGCUGAAGACCCUGCAUGACCAGCUGAGAGGAGGUGCAUGGCGUAGUCGUGU